Long non-coding RNA from Mauremys mutica (yellowpond turtle), 932 nucleotides. RefSeq lists it as uncharacterized. NCBI's taxonomy places the organism in Eukaryota, Metazoa, Chordata, Testudines, Geoemydidae. The record is from RefSeq and is a predicted model, not a curated record. The transcript has 7 exons.
GAAGAAAAUCUCAAUACUAUUUCUGAAUCACAAUUUACCCUAUUCAGCAACAAUAUUCCUCUGCUUUCUUUACAGAAGAGUCCAAGGGCUUCUUUCAUCAAGAUUUUAAUUUAGGUGCUCGUCAGGAUAUCAAUCCAAAAAGUAGAAAAAGAAGAGAGAGAAUUCCAGUAAAACCAACUCCUCAUAUAAAAUCCAAAUUAAAUCUGAAGGGGCAGGAAAAAAGUAAUCCCAUCAACACUAAGCUGAGACAAGGACAUCAUCAUGGAAAGUUAAGACUGCAUAGCUGUAAGUCACAAAUGAGAGUUACGCUAUGCCCAAAAGAUCCAAAAGGAGUACAGACAGCUGUGGGUCUAGAGUGCUGGAUAUGCCUUAGUGAAAGACAGUAUGGUCAGCAGCCCAGCAGAUGUGUUUUUCAUGGAUAAAGAUCCUCAGCUGGAGCAAGUUGGCACAAAUCCAAUUAAGCAGUUGUGAUGCCAAAACCUGCGCUCCUGGCGAAAUGCAUCAUGCAGUACAUCAAGGUGACAGAGGGACAUUCUAGAGGACAGAGGAGAUCUCCAAGGAAAGCCGAUGUCGCAAGAGAGGAGAAUAGUGACAGUGGUUCCAAAGAAUAAAGUUGUAUAUACUCUGAAGAUCCUCAAUAAUUGCACUGCAGUAUGAGCAAGAGAGAGAACAAGUGGCACACCCAAUGUGAGCUAACAGGAAUAACGGUAGAUUUCAUGGUCGUGACAUCACCACCAGUGACUUUUCUACAAACAAAGCUCUGAACAAAGGACUGAAUGACCCAUCCAAGCUGUGGAUGUAUUCCAGAGAGAUUUUAAAGCCAGCAAACUCACCAAUACUGCUAAGAACCUGAUAUAUGGACUUUGAAGUCUCUUUAUGUAUCUGAGUGCUUUAUCAUUGAACAACUUUCUUCUAGUUCUUUUUUCUCUAUA